GUCCAUGCGUAAACGAUGAGUGCUAAGUGUUGGAGGGUUCCGCCUUUCAGUGCUGCAGCUAACGCAUUAAGCACUCCGCUGGGGAGUACGACCGCAAGGUUGAAACUCAAAGGAAUUGACGGGGGCCCGCACAAGCGGUGGAGCAUGUGGUUUAAUUCGAAGCUACGCGAAGAACCUUACCAAGUCUUGACAUCUUCUGCCAAUCUUAGAGAUAAGACGUUCCCUUCGGGGACAGAAUGACAGGUGGUGCAUGGUUGUCGUCAGCUCGUGUCGUGAGAUGUUGGGUUAAGUCCCGCAACGAGCGCAACCCUUAUUAUCAGUUGCCAGCAUUCAGUUGGGCACUCUGGUGAGACUGCCGGUGACAAACCGGAGGAAGGUGGGGAUGACGUCAAAUCAUCAUGCCCCUUAUGACCUGGGCUACACACGUGCUACAAUGGACGGUACAACGAGUCGCGAAGUCGUGAGGCUAAGCUAAUCUCUUAAAGCCGUUCUCAGUUCGGAUUGUAGGCUGCAACUCGCCUACAUGAAGUUGGAAUCGCUAGUAAUCGCGGAUCAGCAUGCCGCGGUGAAUACGUUCCCGGGCCUUGUACACACCGCCCGUCACACCAUGAGAGUUUGUAACACCCAAAGCCGGUGAGAUAACCUUCGGGAGUCAGCCGUCUAAGGUGGGACAGAUGAUUAGGGUGAAGUCGUAACAAGGUAACCA
RNAcentral lists this ribosomal RNA (706 nucleotides) under uncultured Lactobacillus sp. Its description in RNAcentral is "bacterial SSU rRNA". It matches the Rfam family "Bacterial small subunit ribosomal RNA", at positions 793 to 1502 of the family's 1533-position model. Lineage: Bacteria; Bacillati; Bacillota; Bacilli; Lactobacillales; Lactobacillaceae. The record is from RNAcentral.